RNAcentral lists this ribosomal RNA (273 nucleotides) under Pseudomonas sp. HMSC066A08. RNAcentral's name for it is "partial 16S ribosomal RNA". It matches the Rfam family "Bacterial small subunit ribosomal RNA", at positions 921 to 1193 of the family's 1533-position model. Lineage: Bacteria; Pseudomonadati; Pseudomonadota; Gammaproteobacteria; Pseudomonadales; Pseudomonadaceae. The record is from RNAcentral.
CCGCACAAGCGGUGGAGCAUGUGGUUUAAUUCGAUGCAACGCGAAGAACCUUACCUACUCUUGACAUCCAGCGAAUCCUUUAGAGAUAGAGGAGUGCCUUCGGGAACGCUGAGACAGGUGCUGCAUGGCUGUCGUCAGCUCGUGUUGUGAAAUGUUGGGUUAAGUCCCGCAACGAGCGCAACCCUUAUCCUUUGUUGCCAGCACGUAAUGGUGGGAACUCAAAGGAGACUGCCGGUGAUAAACCGGAGGAAGGUGGGGAUGACGUCAAGUCAU